Molecule: unclassified non-coding RNA, 336 nt
Filed under: soil metagenome
Description: partial contains 5.8S ribosomal RNA, internal transcribed spacer 2, and large subunit ribosomal RNA
Rfam family: 5.8S ribosomal RNA (bases 1-120)
Source: RNAcentral
GAUGAAGAACGCAGCGAAAUGCGAUACGUAAUGUGAAUUGCAGAAUUCAGUGCAUCAUCGAAUCUUUGAACGCACAUUGCGCCCGCUAGUAUUCUGGCGGGCAUGCCUGUCCGAGCGUCAUUUCAACCCAUCAAGCUUAGCGCUUGUGUUGGAGCCCUGCGGCCGCCGCAGCCUCCUAAAAUCAGUGGCGGGCUCGCUAUCACGCUGAGUGCAGUAGUAUUCUUCUCACUCCUGUGGUGUAGCGGGUAACCAGCCGUAAACCCCCCCAUCUAUAAAGGUUGACCUCGGAUCAGGUAGGAAUACCCGCUGAACUUAAGCAUAUCAAUAAGCGGAGGA